AGCACGUAUUGACUGUUAGUCGCUUUGGAUAAAAGCGUCUGCUAAAUGGAAUAUA
Molecule: non-coding RNA, 55 nt
Organism: Salmo salar (Atlantic salmon)
Lineage: Eukaryota; Metazoa; Chordata; Actinopteri; Salmoniformes; Salmonidae
Source: Rfam